This 1175-nucleotide long non-coding RNA is filed under the name Ananas comosus (pineapple). RNAcentral's name for it is "long non-coding RNA (ACOM_LNC032387)". Lineage: Eukaryota; Viridiplantae; Streptophyta; Magnoliopsida; Poales; Bromeliaceae. The record is from RNAcentral.
UUAAUAUUAGAACUAUUCAAAUAUAUAUAUAUAUAUAAUUAGACUGGAAUACUAUUAAUAGUAAAACGCUCUUUUUGCUAUCAAGUUUUUAACUCUUGGAUGAAAAAUUAUAGGGUCAAAAUGAUAUUAGUCGGUUAGAGUUGAGUGGUCCCCCUAGGGUUGAGUGGUUCCCACUGGGUUAUAGUAUUUAAUCCAAUGGUUAAAAAUAAUGAAAAGAGUUGAUCUAAAGGCUAAAAAACUGGUAGCAAUAAUGGGAUUUUGUUACUAAUAGUAACCCAGUCCAACUCUCUCUCUCUCUCUCUCUCUCUCUCUCUCUAUAUAUAUAUAUAUAUAUAUAUGAGUUCGGCUGGGAUACUAUGGAUAGCACGGAAGUCACUGUGGUACCAAGUUAUUUUCGAUGAUGCGGCUUCUAAAUCGACGAUCGACUCCGUUAGACUUGAUCUACACUAUUGAAAGUAUUUGAAAACUAAAUUUCAUAAUUUUUCGACAUCAUUUACCGAUCAAACGAGUAGUCUAAAAAUAAACGGCUGAGAAUAAAAAUUUCAUAAAAAGUGAUGAUAAAAGAUUUGAAUUUAAGAUCAGAAGUACUGAUCUUACUCUAAGUAGUGAAAAUAAUUUUCUAUAAAAAUUCCAUCAAAUUUGGAUUGUUUUACACCGUUAAAUUCACAAACGCAUCAAAUCUACCAUUAAAAUUGUCAAUUUUGAGACAUUUUGAUCACUAGCCAAAUGAUGUCGAAAAAUUAUGAAAUUUAGUUUCCAAAUACUUUCAAUAAUGUAGAUCAAGUCUAAUGGAGCCGAUCGUCGAUUUGGAAGUCACAUCAUUGAAAACAACUUGGUAGCACGGAUGCCUCCGUGCUACCGAGAGUAUACCAGCCUAACUCUCUCUCUCUCUCUCUCUCUCUCUCUCUCUCUCUCUCUCUCUCUCUCUCUCUAUAUAUAUAUAUAUAUAUAUAUAUAUAUAUAUAUAUAGAGUCCGGCUGCUAUGCUAUCGAUAGCAUGCACCAAGCACUUGGUGCUAUCAAGUUUUCUGUCGUUAGAUUAAUUUAUUUGAUUAUUUUUAUCCGUUAGAUUAUACUAUUCAACCAACCAUCCACUCAGCCCUAGCCACAUCAUCCUAAUCAUAUAUUUCUCAAUCCUCUUUCCAUUUUCACAUGGGAACCAAUUAACUCCUUUCA